Raphanus sativus (radish) is the source of this 680-nucleotide long non-coding RNA. RefSeq lists it as uncharacterized. Lineage: Eukaryota; Viridiplantae; Streptophyta; Magnoliopsida; Brassicales; Brassicaceae. The transcript is spliced from 4 exons. The record is from RefSeq and is a predicted model, not a curated record.
GAUGUCGUUUUUAUGGCGUUAACAUUAACCUAAUCUCUUUGUCGUCGUUUUCAGUCUUCAUCUUCUUGCCUCCUUUCGAAAAUAUCAAAAUGCCUUCUAGGGUUUCGAAUAUCAAAGUGCCUUCUUGGGUUUCGAUUUGUCUGUUCAUCUCGUGUCUUCUACUUCUUCGUCUUCACUCUCUCUUCCUCGCAUCUUAGAGACAGUCAAGUAUGAAACAAGUGUAGAGGAAGCAAGACACUCUCUCUUACUCGCAUCCUUUUACGGUCAAGGGGAGGGGAUGAUGGUUUUGUAGCCGUUCGUUUGUAGUGGAAGAAAGAGGAUCGUGGCUUCUAUCAUCUCAAGGGAUGGACUCUGAAUCUGUGCACACUAUGGCGCUUCUUGAAGCUCAACGUGAAUACAUGGAUAUGAAUGAUGAAGAUGCUGAAUUUGAGGAAGAUGAAGAUGCUGAAUUUGAUGUCGAUGAGGAGUUGGCAGAAGCAGACGUUCAGUGUGAAACACAAGCUACUGCAUCAACACAAGCAGCGAAAUAGACUGAUAGGCUAUGUUUUAAUCAUGGACAGGUCCUGGUGGUUCAAAAAUGAAAAGAGUAACUUAUGGACACUUGCUGUGAAGUAGAACUUUAUAUUUGAGUUAUGUUGUGAUUUGUAAACUUUGAGUUUCAAUUAUGUUUUAUAUGACAG